Molecule: long non-coding RNA, 958 nt
Organism: Cornus florida
Lineage: Eukaryota; Viridiplantae; Streptophyta; Magnoliopsida; Cornales; Cornaceae
Exons: 2
Source: RefSeq, a predicted model, not a curated record
UCAACUCUCUCUCACUCUCACCCAUUAAUUUCGCCUUUUUCAAUUAUUAUAUUAUAUUAUAUUAUAUUAUAUUUGUUUCUUAAUGUAAUGUCUGACCAGUUCUAGCUUUUGUAAUUUAUCAUUUUUAAAGCUUGACAAAGCCUUGCAGAAAUUCAAAAGGAUCGGAGUUGCUGCCAUUUUGGAACAUCUUGCCCAGUUUUAUGAAAUUGUAGCGUAUUCAGACCAGGUCAAAAGGUUAAAACAGGCUAAAAAGAGCCUUUUAACUUACUUUUGGAGCUAAGGAAAAAAUCCAGAAAAAGUCAGAAAAUCUGCACUGAUCAAGCUUUGAUCGAUUGAAGGAAAUCUUAAUCGAUCGAAAAAGGCUACAAUUGAUUGAGAUCAAGGCGGUGCCAGCUCAGCAAUCUGGAUAAGUCCAAGAAGAUAUUUUCAUGCCACGUCAGCUUUGAUUGAUCGAAGUAAGUUUUCGAUAGAUGCAGAGAGCUGUUUUAUUCCUGCGUUGGCGCGAACUUCACCUACCACAUGGGAUGCGAGAUUGAACCAAUUAGAAGCCAAAAUUCUAACUUGUUGCCUACUCCAAGGACUUUGUAUUUAAAGGGAAUUGGACCAUUUUGUAAUAUAUCUUUUUUCUUUAAUUUUAUUUUAAUUUUAGAUUGUAAUAGCUAUUUUCUCUCUCUAGAAAAGUUAGGAUUAGGGUCAGAAGAAAAUAGAAGAGUGGAGGUUCCAAGAACACAUCUCAAGAUCUACACGCACACACACACUCUCUCUAAUUAACAAAGAAAAAGAGGAAGAAGAUGGAACCAUGUUUGGGGAUUACCUUUGCGGGUUCCAAUAUCAUAUCCACCUCCUCCAUGAUUGGCUAGACUUCUCCUUGGGGCUUAGAUGAGCCCUAAGUUUGUAAUCUAAACCUCUAUAUCUUUUUUACUUUUUGGGUAAUGUUAUCUGGUGAUUAGUGUUUUUA